Molecule: ribosomal RNA, 497 nt
Filed under: uncultured bacterium
Lineage: Bacteria
Description: partial 16S ribosomal RNA
Rfam family: Bacterial small subunit ribosomal RNA
Source: RNAcentral
GAUGAACGCUGGCGGCGUGCCUAAUACAUGCAAGUCGAGCGAACAGACGAGGAGCUGGCUCCUCUGACGUUAGCGGCGGACGGGAGAGUAACACGUGGAUAACCUACCUAUAAGACUGGGAUAACUUCGGGAAACCGGAGCUAAUACCGGAUAAUAUAUUGAACUGCAUGGUUCAAUAGUGAAAGACGGUUUUGCUGUCACUAAUAGAUGGAUCCGCGCCGCAUUAGCUAGUUGGUAAGGUAACGGCUUACCAAGGCAACGAUGCGUAGCCGACCUGAGAGCGUGAUCGGCCACACUGGAACUGAGACACGGUCCAGACUCCUACGGGAGGCAGCAGUAGGGAAUCUUCCGCAAUGGGCGAAAGCUUGACGGAGCACCGCCGCGUGAGUGAUGAAGGUCUUCGGAUCGUAAAGCUCUGUUAUUAGGGAAGAACAAAUGUGUAAGUAACUAUGCACGUCUUGACGGUACCUAAUCAGAAAGCCACGGCUAACUACGUG